RNAcentral lists this ribosomal RNA (1261 nucleotides) under Diplodia mutila. RNAcentral describes it as "partial large subunit ribosomal RNA". It matches the Rfam family "Eukaryotic large subunit ribosomal RNA", at positions 83 to 1693 of the family's 3401-position model. Lineage: Eukaryota; Fungi; Ascomycota; Dothideomycetes; Botryosphaeriales; Botryosphaeriaceae. The record is from RNAcentral.
GUAACGGCGAGUGAAGCGGCAACAGCUCAAAUUUGAAAGCUGGCCCUUUUAGGGUCCGCGUUGUAAUUUGUAGAGGAUGAUUCGGCGAGGGCUCCCGCCUAAGUCCCCUGGAACGGGGCGUCAUAGAGGGUGAGAAUCCCGUAUGUGGUGGGCUGCCUUAGCCAUGUGAAUCUCCUUCGACGAGUCGAGUUGUUUGGGAAUGCAGCUCUAAAUGGGAGGUAAAUUUCUUCUAAAGCUAAAUACCGGCCAGAGACCGAUAGCGCACAAGUAGAGUGAUCGAAAGAUGAAAAGCACUUUGGAAAGAGAGUUAAAAAGUACGUGAAAUUGUUGAAAGGGAAGCGCUUGCAACCAGACUUGUCCGCAGUUGCUCAGCCGGUCUCCUGACCGGCGUACUCUUCUGCGGCCGGGCCAGCAUCAGUUCGGGCGGUCGGAUAAAGACCUCGGGAAUGUAGCUCCUCUCGGGGAGUGUUAUAGCCCGGGGUGGAAUGCGGCCAGCCUGGACUGAGGAUCUCGCUUCGGCAAGGAUGCUGGCGUAAUGGUUGUAAGCGGCCCGUCUUGAAACACGGACCAAGGAGUCUAACAUCUAUGCGAGUGUUUGGGUGUCAAACCCAUACGCGUAAUGAAAGUGAACGGAGGUGGGAACCCGCAAGGGUGCACCAUCGGCCGAUCCUGAUGUCUUCGGAUGGAUUUGAGCAAGAGCAUAGCUGUUGGGACCCGAAAGAUGGUGAACUAUGCCUGAAUAGGGUGAAGCCAGAGGAAACUCUGGUGGAGGCUCGCAGCGGUUCUGACGUGCAAAUCGAUCGUCAAAUUUGGGUAUAGGGGCGAAAGACUAAUCGAACCAUUAACAUUGGUAGUUCUUUGUUUUCAAAGAAGGCUGCUAGGUGGUUGAGAGGUAACUAAAAGUGUUUACCUAGUCCCUUCAUCGGGGCGACACUGUCAAAUUGUUCGGGGACGUCCUUAGAGCUUAGACUACCGCGGCCGGCCGAAAGGUCCGGCGCAGCACCAGGGUAAUGACCUCGGGGAUGGUAAUAACGUCUAAGAUUGGGCAAUCCGCAGCCAAGCUCCUAAGUCCGGUAGAACGGAUAUGGAGAAGGUUCACAGACUAGAUGGCAGUGGGUUCGGCCUUUGACGGGCCGGGUCUAAGAUAUAGUCGAUCCCCUACGGAAACGUAGGCGGUGGGGCAAAGCCCGCCAGGCAGAUGAGUGCGUCGGAAGAGGCACGCCUGGAGGGCCCGAACCCUGUCGGGGAGCCGCAGCGCUCC